UUUUGGGACGGCGUGGAAGUGUUACAGAUAAUUCAUAUGAUGUCAUUUGUAUUACAACCAUUUAAGAACUAAAUAGCGCACAUUAAGAAGCGUAAACGAUCUCCCUCCCCACCUUCCCCCUUAGAGUUAUGCAAUUAGUCGUACGCGCGUGUGCGCCAACUAAGCCCGGCCUGGGAUACGCGAUGGAUGGAGGUUAAAUGAUAUGGAGAAGGAUGAAAAAAAAAAAUUGCAAAAACGGUGACCUUGUCAAUGCUGUACGUGCCUUCGGAAGAAUCUUUCGCAUGUGUUUUCUUGUGUAGCAAGAAAAAAAAAUGACCCGGUUGGGUCAGGACCGUAAAUCAAGAUAUUUUGCAAUUUCAAUAAAUUCCUUCACUUCCUCAUAGCCAACGCAAACUAUGAUUGAUUUUAGUAGCUUUACUAGCUCCGCACGAAUUGGUGCUUGCGUUGUCAACAGUUCAGAUUUAUCAACGGCAUAAAAUAUAUUAAAAAAAAAACAACCUAGGAAAUAACAACCUCACCUUACAGUAAAACGCCCCUGAUUAUUACGCCCUGGGUGAACACUCUAGAAUCGAUAUUAAAUGCAAACGAAGUCCGCAUCGGCCAUUCCCACGGGGUGAGUUUAUUUAGGUAAGAGAAAGAGGAAAAGGCAAAAAAAAGUAGCAACACCAGAACUCAACCCGGCCCCGGGGGAAACCGAGGUGCAAAGUUCAAUGUCAGUGGAGCAUCUUUAGCGACGAGAGGUUGUCCGGUUUUGGGGUGGACAGUUUUUACCUUCCAAAUAAGGGUUUUUUGCUUUCAUCGGCGCUGCUUCAGUUUCCUGUACCAGAACAGUUGGCCCUGGAAUGUCUAAUCUAGAUAAUGGGGGGGAAAAAAAGGGAAGGAUUUUUUUUUCUAUCCAACCUCCCGGAAUGUCCAGUGAUAGAUAAGGAGGUAAAUGCGUUUUUUUACUCUUCUUCAGGUUAUUCUCGCUUCACGCGUUUUGCGUUUGCCUUUGCUGUCCAAGAUGUCCAAGAUGUCUAAGAUGAAGUACUCCAUUACAAUCUGGGUGCGAUUCUUGCAGGCACCUGUCCGAGUGUCGUUGACCGGUUGAAGCUUAGGCAUCCCGGGUCGGGGGGGGCGGUGGAGUGAUGAAGCAGGUCCGGCAAGUUUUAUGCGCGGUUUAUCACUUCCUUUUCUACGCGCGCACAUCUCCUGGAGAUACAAGCCUGUACAAAAAUGGGGAGAAGGUUGGUAGAGGUGAUCAUGCGCGAAAAGCAGAAUGCCUGGGCCCAGGCUCGGUGGACAGCUAGAUAUAUACAGGUGGACGUACCGGCCGAUCGAGAGUUCAGAAAGCGCUCGGCGCUCUAGACGUGCAGAUCACGCUACACCAGGGCCGGAGGAAGUCAUUGGAAGUUCCUUCUUGGGGAACGCGACACUUGGAUAUACUGAUCGAUUCGAUUCGUUACUCGAUUCAUUUGGUUUUGUCGGUGAUUAGCAUCACAAGUCGAACCAGUUGAUGGGAGUUGAAACGCCAGUACAAAACACGUACAAAAAAAACACAUAAAAGCAAGGUGAAGCAUUUGCAGAACAGUGGCUUGAAACAGUGUUGAAA
Long non-coding RNA from Anopheles funestus (African malaria mosquito), 1591 nucleotides. RefSeq lists it as uncharacterized. The transcript has 2 exons. The record is from RefSeq and is a predicted model, not a curated record. NCBI's taxonomy places the organism in Eukaryota, Metazoa, Arthropoda, Insecta, Diptera, Culicidae.